Nothobranchius furzeri (turquoise killifish) is the source of this 1515-nucleotide non-coding RNA. The record is from RefSeq and is a predicted model, not a curated record. Lineage: Eukaryota; Metazoa; Chordata; Actinopteri; Cyprinodontiformes; Nothobranchiidae.
AUGGUUUGACCCCCUUAGGAAUGUGCUAUCAUCAUGAAACGUUCAGAUCACCUACAACUCAAUAGAUUCUACCUUCUUGUAGCGUUUCAGCCUGAUUGGACCUUGUUUUCACACAAAUGGACCCAGAAUGAUGUGAAAUUGUGCUUCGUGCAACAUAAUUCUGGGUGCCAUUUAAAGGCCCAAUGUGUGAUAUUUCAUCUUAUAAGUCAUCAAAUUUCUUGUAUCACAUUCUCAAAUUUGUUUUUUUUAUGAUAAUUCAAACAAGCAUUUAUUCUAAACAUUAUUAUUAGCUUUAUAUUUUAACAUUUUAGACAAAAGAAGCAGACCGGUGCUCCAUAUGGCAUGCGCCAUCUUAAAAUACAGUGACCUUUUAGGGACAUACAACAUAUUAAGCUUCGCAUUUGAUGUUUGCGUUUUUAAAUGAUGUAACCUCAAAGAAACAGCAGGGGGCAGAAGUGCGCCUUGUAAGCAUGCAGUCUGACAAAGUAACUAAGAAGAAGAAGAAACUAGCCACACCGUAAUUCUAGCGAUGGAGGAUCACACAUAUUCUUCAAGCAAACUUGAGAAACGGGAUAGUUUGUCUCAUCCAAGUAAAAAAAAAGGAUUUUGAAAAGUGAACAAGACCGGCGUCAUGAGAAAACCAGAGUAAAUAUAGGAGUUGCCUUCCCAAGAUGGAGAGACCUCAUGUUACAAAAGGGAUUCAGUAGACACGCUGAGCUUGCUACCUUCCUUUUGGAUAGGUAAGUUAAAAAUGUGUGUUUAAUUUCUUCAUUGUAGUAGUUGUGUGCUUUGUGACACAAAGUUUGUGUGGAGUAAGCUAGAGUUUGGGAAAGAGCUCAUGCUAACUAGUGCCAAAAAUGUAGCACACCAUCUUAAAACGUUACUACACGUUAUUUAAGUUUGUCCCAUUGUCGUGACAGAAAUUCAUUAUGCAAUUGUCCUAUUUUUUAGAUUCAAACGGAAGUACAAUAAGAAUGCCAGAAGGUACAGUGUGUAUUCACUAAAAUCAGAAAAGGGCUACGAAUACAUUCCAGUACUCCGAUCAAAAAUAAUCAACGAGAGGUUUGGCGAGAGGAGUCGGGAUGCCUCGUACCAGAUCAAUGAGGGAUGAUGACCCCAGACGGCUCGGUCUUGUGCCACCCAUCGCUCCACCACCUAUUUCGGAGCUAGUGCAGAUCCAAGUCAGCCGAGGUCUUGUAUCAGAACUCAACACAGCUACAGGCCUCCAGUGACGAUCUUGUCUACAUUUACAUGGAGUAUUCUAUACCUGCUGCGUGUUACUAAUGUAAUGUACAUAAAAAUGUAGAUAUUGCACUUUGAUGUCUUUCCUACUGUGCUAACAUGUUGUUCUUUUUACUUGAAGUAGCACAUAAAUUCUGCACAGUCUUUUACGUUAGAUCUAUUCUUUAUUAUUCUAAAGUGUGUAAAAUCAUGUUUCAAGAUUAAAAUGUGUUCCAAAUUUGUCUGUUCAAACUCUGAAUAAGGUUAAUUCAAAUAAAAGUGCAUCUGUACUAA